UAGGAACGAAGCUAGCGUUAUCCGUAGUCAUUGUCUUGAAAGGAUCCGUAUCCUGUUUAAUAAUGCAAUGCGGAAAUCUGUCCGCUCAACGAUCAAACUGCCAUUGAUACUGGUAGACUUGAAUAAGUGUAAAGAAACUAGAAUAUGUAGCGUAGCGGUGAAAUGUUUAGAUAUUAUUUGCAAUACCAAUUGCGAAGGCAGGUUACUAAUAAUUUAUUGACGCUGAUGGCCGAAAGCGUGGGGAGCGAACAGGAUUAGAUACCCUGGUAGUCCACGCCGUAAACGAUGGAUACUAGCUGUUCGGCGCAAGUUGAGUGAUUAAGCGCAAGUGAUAAGUAUCCCACCUGGGGAGUACACACGCAAGUGUGAAACUCAAAGGAAUUGACGGGGGCCCGCACAAGCGGUGGAGCAUGUGGUUUAACUCGAUGAUACGCGAGGAACCUUCCCAGGGCUUAAAUGGGAGUGGACAGCUUAGGAAACUAGGCCUUCUUCGGACCACUUUCAAGGUGCUGCAUGGUUGUCGUCAGCUCGUGCCGUGAGGUGUCAGGUUAAGUCCUAUAACGAGCGCAACCCCUGUCGUUAGUUGCCAGCGAGUGAUGUCGGGAACUCUAACGAGACCGCCGGUGUAAACCGUGCGGAAGGCGGGGAUGACGUCAAAUCAUCACGGCCCUUACGUCCUGGGCCACACACGUGCUACAAUGGCCAGUACAGAGAGCAGCCACUUACCGAUAAGGAGCGAAUCUUCAAAACUGGUCUCAGUUCGGAUUGGAGUCUGCAACUCGCCUCCAUGAAGCUGGAAUCGCUAGUAAUCGGAUAUCAGCCAUGAUCCGGUGAAUACGUUCCCGGGCCU
Molecule: ribosomal RNA, 850 nt
Filed under: uncultured bacterium
Lineage: Bacteria
Description: SSU rRNA
Rfam family: Bacterial small subunit ribosomal RNA
Source: RNAcentral